Molecule: ribosomal RNA, 460 nt
Filed under: uncultured bacterium
Lineage: Bacteria
Description: partial 16S ribosomal RNA
Rfam family: Bacterial small subunit ribosomal RNA
Source: RNAcentral
CCUACGGGUGGCAGCAGUGAGGAAUAUUGGUCAAUGGGCGGGAGCCUGAACCAGCCAAGCCGCGUGAAGGAAGAAGGCGCCAGGCGUCGUAAACUUCUUUUGUCGGGGAACAAAGGGCGCCACGCGUGGCGUUGUGAGUGUACCCGAAGAAAAAGCAUCGGCUAACUCCGUGCCAGCAGCCGCGGUAAUACGGAGGAUGCGAGCGUUAUCCGGAUUUAUUGGGUUUAACGGGUGCGUAGGCGGUCCGGGAAGUCAGCGGUAAAAGGCCGGGGCUCAACCCCGGAGUGGCGUUUAAAACUGGCGGACUAGAGAAGAGGAGAGGUACGCGGAAUGCGUGGUGUAGCGGUGAAAUGCAUAGAUAGCGCGAAGAACUCCGAUUGCGAAGGCAGCGUACCGGCGCCGGACUGACGCUGAGGCACGAAAGCGUGGGUAUCGAACAGGAUUAGAUACCCGUGUAGUC